AUUCUGAAAUCAGCUUUAGGUUAUUUGGGUGUUAAAUAUAACCCAACCAAGUAUUUAACUGUACUGAGCAAAGGCUGUUUUCAAAAGGUACAAGGCUGAGGCAUCUAAUCCUUUAUCAGAGGGACAGAUACUUACUUCCUAGAAGUUCAUGUUAGUGUAAAUUGCUCUAAACCAGACACCCAAAAUGUUUGUUGUAGGGCAGCAAUAGACAAGUACUGUAAGAGCUGCUUUAACCACUAUUUGGUGCAAGUCAGUAGUUUUUCAGACUAUAUAUUACCAACUAAUAUGUUAAUGCUAAGCAUUAUUUUUGAAAUACAGUUUUCUCCCAAGGCUCUACAUCAAAUCCAGAAGCAGUUUACUAAAGGUAAAAUGGAUCAAUGCUUCAUCAUGUGUGUUAAAUGUAUAUGUGUGUUGGCACUUGGGGAAGAGGGAACAGAGGUGACAAACUGUUCAGUACCUGUUGUGUUAUUCUCAUCUCUUUAGAUAUGCCUAAGGUGUCAGUUUAUUCAGGAAAAACCAACAGGGAGCAUCUGAUUCAUUUGUUUUUAAUGAUUUCUUUGGCUACUGAGUGAAGAGAGGCUUCCAAGUGAUUAUUCUCCCUAGAGGAAAGAAGUUGUAGGAAGACCAACUUUCAACUUCCAAACUGUGCAGCUGUUGCAGAAAAUGGAGACUAUUUUUUUCCCCUCUGGCUAACGAAGAGAUUCUUGUAGGGAGCCAAGAGGUCACCUCAGUUUUAUGUUGUAGUUCUUUUAAAAGGCAAGUUCCAUUUUGAUAUCUCCUGAUCUUAUUUUCGUCUUUGAAAUUCAUUGUAUGGCCAAAAUCGAGAUGGGAUUUUUCAGUGUAACAUACCUGCUGAAGAACUACCAAAUGGCUCAUAAACAUACAAUGUGGGUUGGGCAUAUGCUCUUUCUUUUCCUUGUUCCUGGCGUAAUUGCUUUUGAGGAGCAAGAGUUGAGCUGUUAAGCAUCAUUCUGACCCUUUCAUUUUCAUAGUAAGAAGAAAGGAAUUGCUGCACCACAACAGAGAAGAAACAAGAUGGUCAGGGGAGCCACAGGAACAAGGGAUAUUGGAAGGCAAGCAGGUGCCCAUAUGUGCCAGUGCAAGAAUUUUCUGAAACCUUCCAAAUGCUUCAGAUACCCCCAGGAAUGUUUUACAGUGGCUGGCAACAACCCCUUCCUGCCACUUGCUUGUGAAAUCAGGAGAUCACACAGUUCGUUUUCCUCUGUCUGAACGCUCAGCUGAGGACACCCCCCUCUCAGGAGCACGGAAGACAGAAAAGUGAUGCUGUUUCUGAAAACCUGACAAGUUCUGAAGCUUAUUGAAACUCCAGUGGUUCUGCACAGCUUUGACAGCCACUGCAGGGCUGCUCACAAAUGCUUCAAAUGCAAAAGGAUUACCAAUGCAUUCUGUGAAGAGAAUGUCUUAGUGUCUGUUGCAUCUCCCUCUAAAAAACAUUCAGGAAAGACAUGGAUCAAGUAGAAGAGCUUUCCGCAAACAGAAGGAAGAGCUUCCUCUUGGUUGACAAGAAAAAGAGUAAUGGCUGUAGAACCAUGGUGGGAUUUUUAUGCAUAUUCCCUGUGGUGGCUUUGCUGGCUAUUGUGGGAGAUCCAGCUGGAGCUGCACUUCAGGAAAGUCAGGAAGAUGCCACAUCACCUGGGCUUCAUGGAGUGAGUGCCUCUGCUUUGCACAGUCCAGCUUUCCCUCCUCGGCCUCCAGCAAGGAGAAAACGAUACACAAUCACCCCAGGACGCUUGAAAUGGGACCACUUCAACUUGACAUACAAAAUCCUGUCCUUCCCCAGAAACCUCAUAAACGCCAGGGACACGCGCAGGGGGCUGGCGGCUGCCUUCCGAAUGUGGAGUGAAGUUUCACCCUUCAGCUUCAGAGAAGUGCCACGCCACAUGGAAAGUGACUUGAAAAUAGGUUUCUACUCUAUCAACCACACAGACUGUCUGGAGUCUCUCAUUCACCAUUGCUUUGAUGGAACAACAGGGGAGCUUGCCCAUGCCUUCUUCCCACCCAACGGAGAAAUCCACUUUGAUGACCACGAAUACUGGAUAUUGGGGAACACCCGCUUCAGCUGGAAAAAAGGUGUUUGGCUUACAGAUCUGGUGCACGUAGCAGCACAUGAAAUAGGACAUGCCUUGGGGCUCAUGCACUCCCUGAACCCCAAUGCCCUCAUGCACAUCAACGCCACGUUGACUGGGAAAAAGACCAUCUCUCAGGAUGAAGUCUGGGGAAUUCACAGGCUUUACGGAUGUAAAGACAGGUUAUUUAUGUGCCCAUCAUGGGCACAAAAAGGAUUCUGUGAGAAGCGCAGGAAGUUGAUGAAAAAGCACUGUCCAUCUACUUGUGACUUCUGCUAUGAAUUCCCAUUUCCAACUGUCCCUCCCACUCUGCCCCCACCAAGGACAAAAACCAAGACUGUUUCUGAAGGCAGGAAUGUCACCUUCCGCUGCGGACAGAAGAUCAUUCAUAAAAAAGGCAAAGUUUAGUAAGUACUCUAUCAUUUCCUCUAGUCCUUUAGGAAGCUUUGCAGCUUACGUACCAAAAAUGAUGAGGAAGAAUGGCAAAACCAAGUAAAUAAGAACACAGUUUAUCUUCUGGAGCAUGUCACUGGCAUCUGGCACCAGAGUAGAGAGGAUCACUGUGAGAAGGGAGCCUGCAAAUACCAUCACAGUGUUGCAAAGCAUUAAGUCUGAAAGCAAAGCUGAGUUCAAAAGGGAUAAAAUCCAAUUCACCUAUAGCACAAAGCUGGUAUAAAGAUAAGGAGCUUCUGGAAUACUCAUAUCCAGGUUACUUAUCCUUAAAUGAAGAUCACAUGAGCAUCAUUGCAAAUGCAAUUAAUGAAGGAACUUACACUUGUAUAGUGAAGAAAAAAGAAAGAAUCUUGACUACUUAUUCCUGGAGGAUCAGACUGAAGCACUAACCCUGGCCCUGGACUGUAGAGCUUCAAUUCUGCUCCUUCUGUUUCAAAUUCAAAACGUUUCUUUGGCAUUUUAUAUUUAAUCUCCAGUUGUGCAACUGAACUUCUACAUCAGCUGCUUCCACCCCUUGGGCAACAGAGACUCUGAGACUGAAGUACUGGAAUGUAAAACUUUCCCAAAUUACUUUUAAUGAUAAAGAAUUUAUCAAGUAUGUGCUGUACAGAGAAUUAAAAGAGUUGGUUUUUA
This is an RNA transcript of Strigops habroptila (Kakapo), 3173 nucleotides long. It is a transcript of the gene named matrix metallopeptidase 23B, with no coding region annotated. The record is from RefSeq and is a predicted model, not a curated record. The transcript has 10 exons. NCBI's taxonomy places the organism in Eukaryota, Metazoa, Chordata, Aves, Psittaciformes, Psittacidae.